UUCGGGACGCCGGCGAGUGGCGAACGGGUGAGUAACACGUGGAGACCUGCCCUGAGGUGGGGGAUAACAGCUAGAAAUGGCUGCUAAUACCGCAUACGCCUUACGAGGGAAAGAUUUAUUGCCUCAGGAGGGUUCCGCGUCGGAUUAGCUUGUUGGUGGGGUAACGGCCUACCAAGGCGAUGAUCCGUAGCUGGUCUUAGAGGAUGAUCAGCCACACUGGGACUGAGACACGGCCCAGACUCCUACGGGAGGCAGCAGUGGGGAAUAUUGCGCAAUGGAGGCAACUCUGACGCAGCGAUGCCGCGUGGGUGAAUAAGGCCUUAGGGUUGUAAAGCCCUUUCAGUGGGAAAGAUGAUGACGGUACCCACAGAAGAAGCCCCGGCUAACUCCGUGCCAGCAGCCGCGGUAAUACGGAGGGGGCGAGCGUUGUUCGGAAUUAUUGGGCGUAAAGAGCGCGUAGGCGGUUUAUUAAG
RNAcentral lists this ribosomal RNA (473 nucleotides) under uncultured Magnetococcus sp. RNAcentral's name for it is "bacterial SSU rRNA". It matches the Rfam family "Bacterial small subunit ribosomal RNA", at positions 79 to 587 of the family's 1533-position model. Lineage: Bacteria; Pseudomonadati; Pseudomonadota; Magnetococcia; Magnetococcales; Magnetococcaceae. The record is from RNAcentral.